AUGGUUAAGAACAUCACUAAUUUGUGUCACCGUGAAACACCUCGUCCCAACCCUAUCUCUUUCAUCUUCACAUUGAAUCAUUGUUGGACCAACUCAGAGGCUUCAAUUAAGAUCCGACUCAGGAGACGACAAUGUCAUGAGGAAGAAGCGAAUGCGAGACACAAGAUUGAUGCGGUGUUGAUUGAUGAAUUUUCAGGUUGGAGAAUCGUUGAUGAUGAAAUGAUAACAUGCGGAAUAUAA
Vicia faba (fava bean) is the source of this 240-nucleotide non-coding RNA. The record is from the annotation of a GenBank genome assembly. NCBI's taxonomy places the organism in Eukaryota, Viridiplantae, Streptophyta, Magnoliopsida, Fabales, Fabaceae.